RNAcentral lists this ribosomal RNA (410 nucleotides) under uncultured bacterium. RNAcentral describes it as "bacterial SSU rRNA". It matches the Rfam family "Bacterial small subunit ribosomal RNA", at positions 355 to 764 of the family's 1533-position model. The record is from RNAcentral.
UAAGGAAUAUUGCUCAAUGGGAGAAAUCCUGAAGCAGCAACGCCGCGUGGAGGAUGAAGGGUCUAUGGCUUGUAAACUCCUGUAAAGAAGGAAAAAAUUCCCAUUAGAUGGGAGAUGAUGGUACUUCUGGAGUAAGCCCCGGCUAACUACGUGCCAGCAGCCGCGGUAAUACGUAGGGGGCAAGCGUUGUCCGGAUUUACUGGGUGUAAAGGGUGCUCAGGCGGAUUUGUAAGUCAGAGGUGAAAUCUUACAGCUGAACUGUGAAACUGCCUUUGAUACUGCAAGCCUAGUGUAUGGAAGAGAGUGAUGGAAUAUCUGGUGUAGCAGUGAAAUGCGUAGAUAUCAGAUAGAACACCAAUGGCGAAGGCAGUCACUUGGUCCAUUACUGACGCUAAAGCACGAAAGCGUGG